This 96-nucleotide ribosomal RNA is filed under the name Salinivibrio kushneri. RNAcentral describes it as "partial 16S ribosomal RNA". It matches the Rfam family "Bacterial small subunit ribosomal RNA", at positions 1442 to 1533 of the family's 1533-position model. Lineage: Bacteria; Pseudomonadati; Pseudomonadota; Gammaproteobacteria; Vibrionales; Vibrionaceae. The record is from RNAcentral.
UCGGGAGGGCGUUUACCACGGUGUGGUUCAUGACUGGGGUGAAGUCGUAACAAGGUAGCCCUAGGGGAACCUGGGGCUGGAUCACCUCCUUACUGA